UGGGGAAUAUUGGACAAUGGGCGCAAGCCUGAUCCAGCCAUGCCGCGUGAGUGAUGAAGGCCUUAGGGUUGUAAAGCUCUUUCACCGGUGAAGAUAAUAACGGUAACCGGAGAAGAAGCCCCGGCUAACUUCGUGCCAGCAGCCGCGGUAAUACGAAGGGGGCUAGCGUUGUUCGGAAUUACUGGGCGUAAAGCGCACGUAGGCGGACAUUUAAGUCAGGGGUGAAAUCCCGGGGCUCAACCUCGGAACUGCCUUUGAUACUGGGUGUCUUGAGUAUGGAAGAGGUAAGUGGAAUUGCGAGUGUAGAGGUGAAAUUCGUAGAUAUUCGCAGGAACACCAGUGGCGAAGGCGGCUUACUGGUCCAUUACUGACGCUGAGGUGCGAAAGCGUGGGGAGCAAACAGG
This 404-nucleotide ribosomal RNA is filed under the name Rhizobium sp. Its description in RNAcentral is "bacterial SSU rRNA". It matches the Rfam family "Bacterial small subunit ribosomal RNA", at positions 355 to 776 of the family's 1533-position model. The record is from RNAcentral. Lineage: Bacteria; Pseudomonadati; Pseudomonadota; Alphaproteobacteria; Hyphomicrobiales; Rhizobiaceae.